CGCCCAAAUCUGGGGCAGCCGCCGCGGUUACACCACUGUGGGUCAAAUUGACUUCUUUCGGCGUAAAGCGUGCUUAAAGCCUAAAAUUUCUUGGAAUUAAACUGAAACUAAGCCGUGACACGCUUGUUACUCAAGAAAACCAAAAACGAAAGUUAUUCCAAUUUUCUCAACUUGAAUUCACGAUAACUAGGAAACAAACUGGGAAUAAAUACCCCACUAUGCCUAGUCGUAAACUUUAACUUACCCCAACAUCGCCCGGGAACUACGAGCUAAGCUUAAAACCCAAAGGACUUGACGGUACCCCAUAUCCCCCUAGAGGAGCCUGUCCUAUAAUCGAUAACCCCCGUUUAACCUCACCAUUUUUUGCCAAUCAGCCUGUAUACCUCCGUCGUCAGCUUACCACGUGAGCGUCAGUGAGCUUAAUGUUUUUCCAACUAUACGUC
Molecule: ribosomal RNA, 443 nt
Filed under: Ameerega petersi (Peruvian poison frog)
Lineage: Eukaryota; Metazoa; Chordata; Amphibia; Anura; Dendrobatidae
Description: partial 12S ribosomal RNA
Rfam family: Bacterial small subunit ribosomal RNA
Source: RNAcentral